Small nuclear RNA from Cavia porcellus (domestic guinea pig), 107 nucleotides. NCBI's taxonomy places the organism in Eukaryota, Metazoa, Chordata, Mammalia, Rodentia, Caviidae. The record is from Ensembl.
GUGCUGGGCUUGGCAGCACAUACACACACUAACAACUGGCACAAUACAGAGAAGAUUAGCAUGGCCUCUGCACCAGGUGUCACAAGUUUAAGUAUCAGAUGAUUUCU